This 497-nucleotide ribosomal RNA is filed under the name uncultured bacterium. RNAcentral describes it as "partial 16S ribosomal RNA". It matches the Rfam family "Bacterial small subunit ribosomal RNA", at positions 28 to 507 of the family's 1533-position model. The record is from RNAcentral.
GAUGAACGCUGGCGGCGUGCCUAAUACAUGCAAGUCGAGCGAACAGACGAGGAGCUUGCUCCUCUGACGUUAGCGGCGGACGGGUGAGUAACACGUGGAUAACCUACCUAUAAGACUGGGAUAACUUCGGGACACCGGAGCUAAUACCGGAUAAUAUAUUGAACCGCAUGGUUCAAUAGUGAAAGACGGUUUUGCUGUCACUUAUAGAUGGAUCCGCGCCGCAUUAGCUAGUUGGUAAGGUAACGGCUUACCAAGGCAACGAUGCGUAGCCGACCUGAGAGGGUGAUCGGCCACACGGGAACUGAGACACGGUCCAGACUCCUACGGUAGGCAGCAGUAGGGAAUCUUCCGCAAUGGGCGAAAGCCUGACGGAGCAACGCCGCGUGAGUGAUGAAGGUCUUCGGAUCGUAAAACUCUGUUAUUAGGGAAGAACAAAUGUGUAAGUAACUAUGCACGUCUUGACGGUACCUAAUCAGAAAGCCACGGCUAACUACGUG